GUAGUGAUUAUUCAAUGACAGACUUCUUGCCUCCCAUGCAGGAGGCCCAGGUUUGAUUCCUGGCCACUGCA
This 71-nucleotide transfer RNA is filed under the name Loxodonta africana (African savanna elephant). It matches the Rfam family "tRNA". Rfam says of the family: Transfer RNA (tRNA) molecules are approximately 80 nucleotides in length. Their secondary structure includes four short double-helical elements and three loops (D, anti-codon, and T loops). Lineage: Eukaryota; Metazoa; Chordata; Mammalia; Proboscidea; Elephantidae. The record is from Rfam by way of RNAcentral.